UACGUAGGGUGCGAGCGUUGUCCGGAUUUAUUGGGCGUAAAGAGCUCGUAGGCGGUUUGUCGCGUCGGCCGUGAAAUCUCCACGCUUAACGUGGAGCGUGCGGUCGAUACGGGCAGACUUGAGUUCGGUAGGGGAGACUGGAAUUCCUGGUGUAGCGGUGAAAUGCGCAGAUAUCAGGAGGAACAUCGGUGGCGAAGGCGGGUCUCUGGGCCGAUACUGACGCUGAGGAGCGAAAGCGUGGGGAGCGAACAGG
RNAcentral lists this ribosomal RNA (253 nucleotides) under uncultured bacterium. RNAcentral's name for it is "partial 16S ribosomal RNA". It matches the Rfam family "Bacterial small subunit ribosomal RNA", at positions 524 to 776 of the family's 1533-position model. The record is from RNAcentral.